Molecule: unclassified non-coding RNA, 413 nt
Filed under: soil metagenome
Description: partial contains 5.8S ribosomal RNA, internal transcribed spacer 2, and large subunit ribosomal RNA
Rfam family: 5.8S ribosomal RNA (bases 1-120)
Source: RNAcentral
GAUGAAGAACGCAGCGAAAUGCGAUAAGUAAUGUGAAUUGCAGAAUUCAGUGAAUCAUCGAAUCUUUGAACGCACCUUGCGCUCUUUGGUAUUCCGAAGAGCAUGCCUGUUUGAGUGUCAUGAAAAUAUCAACCUUGACUUGGGUUUUGUGCUCUAGUCUCGGCUUGGAAUUGGGUGCUUGCCGCUUUUACGAGCGGCUCACCUUAAAUGUAUUAGCUGGAUCUGUCUUUGAGACUUGGUUUGACUUGGCGUAAUAAGUAUUUCGCUAAGGACAUUCUUCGGAGCGGCCUCGUUUCUAGGACGCUUGUCCGCUUUCCAAUACAAGUUCCACCUCGUGGACAUGACUUUUUAUUAUCUGGCCUCAAAUCAGGUAGGACUACCCGCUGAACUUAAGCAUAUCAAUAAGCGGAGGA